RNAcentral lists this long non-coding RNA (1446 nucleotides) under Cavia porcellus (domestic guinea pig). RNAcentral describes it as "lncRNA (ENSCPOG00000035835.1)". The record is from RNAcentral. Lineage: Eukaryota; Metazoa; Chordata; Mammalia; Rodentia; Caviidae.
AAAACACCAGGGGAACCCUGGUGAGAAAGUGUAGCAAGAUCUUAGAGAGGGUGACUCUCUGGACCCCUCCAUGCCUCCCUGAGGAUCGGGGAGCCUGGGACAGCUGUCUGCAUUCCCUAGAGAGGCAUCUCCCAGUGGUGCCGGGAGGAAGGAAGCUGGAAGCUCCGGUUGCUGUGAGCCAAGCAGAGGGAGAAAGAGACCACUGACAGCACCAGGGAUGAGCUGAGGAGGCAGCAGCCGAGCAUGGGGUGACCCCGCCACGGAGAACUGGGAACUCCUGGAGAUGAUGCAUGACAGACUCCUGUGGGCCCUACAUGCUCCCUCGGUGUGCAGGUGACUGUACUGUCUAGCAUGCCCAGCAUCUUCACAGCAGAAGACACUGUGUUUCUGCCCACAACACAGAGUUUGCGUUGAGCGUAUCUAGAAAUCAGCAUCCACACUGAUGGCUGAACAGAGCGAAUGAGGAACGGGUCCAUUCGCUCAGCAGCGGCAUUUAAGGUGCGUCCUGUGCUCCACAAGGCAGCAGCUCUGUUCCCAGUACCUGGGUCCUUCACUCUUCUCUCCAUGAAGCCAAGCUCAGCCUCAGCACUUUGGGGCAUGACCAUGGUCUGACCUGAUUGGUGUUGGGAUGUGUCUCUAGGUCUCAGACACCUGGCAGAGCCAAGCAAAGUGACUGCCUGAAAAUUCGGAGUACAUAGGGCUCCUGAUUCCUAGAUGCCUGGGGACCUGCCCUGCUGUGGAGCCUUGUGAAGUUCCGAAAUCAAUGUUUAGCACUACAUUGCCCCAAAUGAGAAGUAAAUGAUCGUGACAUAAUACUCAAACACUGUGGCAAGAUCAUUUUUAAAGUAUCUAACACCCUCACUGAAGCUGGGUGAUAACUAUUACCAUGCUGAAUAUUCUUCAAGAUUUUUAAAAUGCACAUAACCAACUUGCCAAAAGUGAAAUUUUGUUGCUGAUUGUUCUGUUUUUUAAUUGUUUUUUUUUUCUCCUGUAUGUUGAUUUUUGUAUAACAAUAUCAUUACAUUUAAUGGUGGCCUGGAAUUUCUUCGAGUUUUUUUUUUUCCUUUUUGGUAAUUAAGUUGUUUCUAGACUUCUUUGUGGUUGAUAAAUAUUCUAUAUUUCUGUAAUUUUUCCAGGUCAAAGGGCAUUAAAAUUAAACUUUUCAUGUAUUUACAGAUUAUCUUCUGGAUAAUUCUAGAAAUUUCUCUUUCACAGACAAUUUACAGGGAUCCUAACCAUAGAACUUUCCCCUACAUACAUUUUAGUAGGGCCAAAGGAGCAAGAGAUAUGUAGCAGACAUGGAGUUGUCUCUCCAGACCCUAAUUCUUCAUCUGAGUCUUCCUGACUGUAACUUUUACCUUAGAAAGUUAGUUUCAAAUGAAGUCAGUUUAUUAUUUGUCUGUGAGCACAGGAAGGUUUUGAUAAUAAUAAUAAAAAUGAUACCUG